Molecule: ribosomal RNA, 717 nt
Filed under: archaeon enrichment culture clone A21D11
Lineage: Archaea
Description: bacterial SSU rRNA
Rfam family: Archaeal small subunit ribosomal RNA
Source: RNAcentral
GGUUACUGCUAUCGAGGUUCGACUAAGCCAUGCGAGUCGAAUGUAGCAAUACAUGGCGAACUGCUCAGUAACACGUGGACAACCUGCCCUUAGGUUGGGUAUAAACCCGGGAAACUGGGUAUAAUACCCGAUAGGUCUCGAUUGCUGGAAUGCAUCGAGAUUUAAAGCUCCGGCGCCUAAGGAUGGGUCUGCGGCCUAUCAGGUAGUAGUGGGUGUAGCGUACCUACUAGCCUACGACGGGUACGGGUUGUGAGAGCAAGAGCCCGGAGAUGGAUUCUGAGACACGAAUCCAGGCCCUACGGGGUGCAGCAGGCGCGAAAACUUUACAAUGCUGGCAACAGCGAUAAGGGAACCUCGAGUGCCAGGUUACAAAUCUGGCUGUCGAGAUGCCUAAAAAGCAUUUCAUAGCAAGGGCCGGGCAAGACCGGUGCCAGCCGCCGCGGUAACACCGGCGGCUCGAGUGGUAACCGUUAUUAUUGGGUCUAAAGGGUCUGUAGCCGGCCGGAUAAGUCUCUUGAGAAAUCUGGCAGCUUAACUGUCAAGCUUUCAGGAGAUACUGUCUGGCUCGAGGCCGGGAGAGGUGAGAGGUACUUCAGGGGUAGGGGUGAAAUCUUGUAAUCCUUGAAGGACCACCAGUGGCGAAAGCGUCUCACCAGAACGGACCUGACGGCAAGGGACGAAAGCUAGGGGCACGAACCGGAUUAGAUACCCGGGUAG